This is a non-coding RNA of Erinaceus europaeus (western European hedgehog), 70 nucleotides long. NCBI's taxonomy places the organism in Eukaryota, Metazoa, Chordata, Mammalia, Eulipotyphla, Erinaceidae. The record is from Rfam.
GAGAAAUUAGUAUAAUAAAGUACAUUACUUUGUCAAAGUAAAAUUAAAGGUUAAAAUCCUUUAUUCCUUU